GCGCGGUUAGCUCAAUUGGUAGAGCGCGUCUUUGACGUAGACGAGGCAGCAGGUUCGAAACCUGCACCGCGCA
Non-coding RNA from Candidatus Kaiserbacteria bacterium, 73 nucleotides. The record is from Rfam. NCBI's taxonomy places the organism in Bacteria, Candidatus Kaiseribacteriota.